CCUACGGGAGGCAGCAGUGGGGAAUUUUGGACAAUGGGCGCAAGCCUGAUCCAGCAAUGCCGCGUGAGUGAAGAAGGCCUUCGGGUUGUAAAGCUCUUUUGUCAGGGAAGAAACGGCUGAGGCGAAUACCUUUGGCUAAUGACGGUACCUGAAGAAUAAGCACCGGCUAACUACGUGCCAGCAGCCGCGGUAAUACGUAGGGUGCAAGCGUUAAUCGGAAUUACUGGGCGUAAAGCGUGCGCAGGCGGUUUUGUAAGUCUGACGUGAAAUCCCCGGGCUCAACCUGGGAAUUGCGUUGGAGACUGCAAGGCUGGAGUCUGGCAGAGGGGGGUAGAAUUCCACGUGUAGCAGUGAAAUGCGUAGAGAUGUGGAGGAACACCGAUGGCGAAGGCAGCCCCCUGGGUCAAGACUGACGCUCAUGCACGAAAGCGUGGGGAGCAAACAGGAUUAGAUACCCUGGUAGUCCACGCCCUAAACGAUGUCUACUAGUUGUCGGGUCUUAAUUGACUUGGUAACGCNGCGACGCGUGAGUAGACCGCCGUGGGAGGUAACGGUCGCGAGAGUUAAACGUUACGAAGAAGUUAGACGGCGNGAGACGNGCGACGGACGACGACGAGGGAGGAGG
Molecule: ribosomal RNA, 625 nt
Filed under: uncultured bacterium
Lineage: Bacteria
Description: bacterial SSU rRNA
Rfam family: Bacterial small subunit ribosomal RNA (bases 1-540)
Source: RNAcentral